Molecule: long non-coding RNA, 4582 nt
Organism: Solanum stenotomum
Lineage: Eukaryota; Viridiplantae; Streptophyta; Magnoliopsida; Solanales; Solanaceae
Exons: 7
Source: RefSeq, a predicted model, not a curated record
GUAGGUCAAGUGUUUGGUUAUCUUUAUUGCUCUAUAUUUUCUUUAUCCAAAAUUAUCCAUAUAAAUAAUACUACUAAUUUGAUAAAUUGUUAGGGGGAACAGGCCCAACAGUAGUAAGGAGGGUAUAACACAUGUAGCGACAAAAAUUUUGGGAGCAACAAAUUUUAUAUCCAUGGAUGCUGGACAAACAAGCAAACGCCAAACUCUGAUAAGAAAGAUGAUGAUAGAAAUGUUAGGCGCCGUGAACUCUACAAACUUAUGAUGGCUAAUGAAAAGCGUACUCUUAAUAUGAAAAACUCUUGCUCUACUUCCAGAAUAGUUACUGAGCUUCCCUUGUUUCCUGCUUUUGACAAAGGAAAUCCUCACUCCAUCUAUGAGAAAGGUUCAACAUCAGGUCUUGUAAUAAAACCUUGCUGUACAGCUAAGCCAGCCAUUCGUUACUAAAGGUUUGUUUUACAUCUGGUUUGGAUCGUUGUUACCCAUUGUAUCGUAUUAUAUCUUACAAAAAAACUUUUUUUGAUUUCUAUUUAAAAUAUAUUAAAUUGUAUUGCUAAAUCCGUCAUGAAAAGCGCCCUUUUAUGUAAUGACCUAUUUGGUUUGAUCACGUCGUUACCUAGUUUCUCUUUCAAAUUAUGUCCUUAAUAUGUUUUUUUUACCCUAUAUUAUUUAACUCCACCCAAAUACCAUAUCCUACGUUUGUACUCUUUUUCUUUCUUUAUAGUUAACUAUGUUAUUUGCUCGGCUUUCUGCCCUUGUUUCGAAAUUACAGGUACUUUUUUUUGUCCAUAACCAUAUUUUUAAAGUUCCUUUUCUGCUUUAACUAUAUCUCAGUUUAUGGAGGAUCUUUAUUGCAUUUCUCUAUUUUCAUCACAUCUAUUUCUUAUGAACUUUAACAUGCAAACAAUGUUAUAGAUGCAAAGAGAGCCUGGGCCAGUUGACAAUUAACAACACUACUUGUUGAAAAACACUUACUUUGCUAUAAGUUCUGGACCAUGUAUGAUAUACUUGAUCCCAAAAGAAAAGUAUCUUUCCAAAAAUAUUUUUGAAAAUAAUUAUGUUUGAGUUGCAUGUCUCGGUUGUUUUUGAAGUGAGCAGAUCAUAUUCUAUGUUGCAUGUGCUAUUUAGUAGUUUAUGUUCAUACAAUCAGUUGCAUGAAUUUAAUUGUGUUUGUUUUUGGCUUGGAUUUGAUUUUUUCUUUAAAUUUGUAAACCUAAGCCCAAACAUUAUUGUAGCUCUUUUUGGUGUAUUAAAAGAAUGUGGAAUUUGGUAAUGUGAUUCACCUAGUCAAAAUCCCACUAAACAGUAUUUUUGUCAUACUUAAACAAUAUUGAAUCGUUGAUAUCUUUCAAUUAUUUAUUUGCUAGAUUAGGCUGGUUUACAAUAAAUAUAUCCAUAUUUUAUAAAUGUGCAAGUGCCGCUUAAUUUUUAUUCAGAUUUAUUUUUGCAUGUACGUAGUUUCAGUAAUUUCAUUUGAAUUUGCAUGAAUUUAAUAACUUAGUAUAUUUACAAAGCAUAAUUUGUGACAAAUUAGCAGAAAUAUGCUGUCUUAUUUUUAUUUUUUUUGAAAUUGGUGAUAAAAUUACUUUAUACAACAGUUUAGGGUAUUUUAGUAAACUUACCAGUUACAAUAUAACAUGAUACAAUCAAGCCAAACAAGAAAAAUAUUAUUGUCAACAACAAACGAUACAAUCUACCCAAACAUUGUUCCAAAAAAUAAUACAAUAUAAUACAAUACAUUGUGAAAUGAUGGGCUACAAUAAUACAAACAUAGUGAAUAGUCUCAUGUUUAAUUAAUACCAUUAUGUGUUCUCAUUCUUUCACUCCUUCCACAGUUCCACCGUUCAGUGUAUCCAGGUCACUGGCAAAAUAAGAACUGCUCUGAAUAUUGAACUAUGAUCAAACUAUGUACCAUUUAAAAAAGUUUCUAAUUGUAAAUUUUGUUGUGCCAGUCGUAUGGUUAAGAUAAUUUCACACCAAAUGCGAACUAAUUUGUGUGCUCUAUAAUUAGGAAAUCAUGAAAACAUACACUUCCGGACAUACAUUAGAACGUAUAGUAGUUGCAUUUACACCGCUUGGUGUGCAUUACGAUACAGACUUGAUACAAAGAAAUUGUGGUAUCUAUACGUUUAGAGUUCAAGAAUGAAUGUACCAUCUGAUAAAUGAUUUGUAUCCUGGUGACCAGAAACCAAUAAAUCUGCAACUCUACUUUUACGACAGUGAUGAUUAAUUUCAGUAAAUAGAAUGUCAUGUUCUGAUAAGGUCAAUGACUCUAUAGUGUGAGAACUAAUGGAUAUGCUGAGAAAUGAGAAUUAACCCAUAUUCCUUUUUUAUCUGAUCUUUGAUAGAUAUAAUGCAGCUACAUAAUUUCUGCAUUACGUUCUCGUAGGUAGCCAUGUACUUCAUGGACAUUGUUUUAUUGUUAAUUCUGAGCACUGCAUUUUUUCCGAAGGGAAUGGAAUAUUUGUAGAACACUAAUAGCAUUACCUGUUCAUCAAAAAUUAUGUUGAUCUUAGCCCUCUGUUCAUGUGAUGAUGUUGUUAGGUUGUGCAGAUUUGGAUAUACUUGUUGGCCAUGUUUAUUUAUCAUUUUUUCUCUUCAGCUUUGGGCAAUCUAACUAAUUUGUAAAUUGUUAAUUAGUAGUGUGAGUUCCUGCCUUUCUGUAAUUUUCUCACUUGAGCUCAUGCUCUUUUGUAAUUUUCUGAAAAUUGGCACCUCUACCGAUCAAUGAUGCCUCUUCCAGCCUUCGAUAACUUUACUUACCCUUUGUUCGUUUCUUUUAGCCUAUAUUUUCUAUUAACGUCUUCACUUUGAGGCCUUCUCUUAUCACUUUGUUUAGUCUUCUGUUAAAUCUCUAUUCCAUAUGUAGAUAUGAGGAUUGCAUGUUCUAUGUGCUUCUUUCUGCUAUAGGUAAGGACCCCACUGAUAUCGAUAUACUCAACCACUGACUUAUCCUACAAGCAUCUUUCUGCUCCAACUUUCCAGUAUUGGUACCACAAAAGGCACAUCUUCAUCAGAUUUUGGAUUUUAGCCGUUGGUUUUCUUUCCUGUUAGUUAGCUGCACACCCAGUGCUUCCUAGCAGCUUUAUUACUUUGUAAGUAAACACCUCAACAACUAUCUUGUCUUCUAAUACUACAAUACAAUCAUACUAUUUAUCAACCAUUAAAGUGCAGUAUACUUCUUCUUAUGCCCUCGGAUCACAGCCUGGACUCCACGUAAACCGAAUGGCUUUGAGAACUGUCCUUGGUCACUUCCUAUAUCUGUCAGCAUUUCAUCACUUCAUAUUACUGCUUAUUUUACUGGUAACGUUGUCCUCUUUAGACAAAAUCUACAUAUAUAAGUAUUAACCAACUGAUUUAUCUUUUUCCUUGCAGAAUUCUGAAAGAGUGACCAUUUGAUCUACCAUAAGCUAAACUUAUAAUUCCCUUGACAGACAACCAUUGUUGAACAAGCGACAUUCCAUCAACGAGCUCCUAGAUGUUGGCACAACCGCUUGUUCAGCAAUGAUUCUGCUGCCAAGUGAACUUUGGUUUGCACUGGCUCAACACUUCUGUUAAGUCAGCUACUUCAGUUUUUGGUCAAAUCUGGCUUAAUCUUCUCAAGAUUGUUUCUUCCAAUUUUCCAGGAGAUGGAAGUGACCAAGCAUAUGCUACUCAUACCUUAUCGCUCUGCUAAGUAGUGCUCUUAACAAAAGAAAGGUAAAACAGAUAUUGGUUCUUAAUAAGAAAAGCAAGUCCAAACUUUUUUGUUUUAGGUAUAUUGGCUCCCUAACAGUACCACAGGAUGUUAUCUGGAAUAUUGAUUGAAAGGUGAAAACCAAAUGAAACUGAUCCCAGAUGCUGUUCAUGACGCGAGUUGCUGCCAAAUUAAAUUUCAGCAAUAUGAAUUUUCUUUCCUAAUUAUGUUUCAUCCAUUAUACUAGUAUAUAUUGCUUUAUAUAUUUGGAUCCAACUCUUCUUAAACUUAACUUUCUUGAUUCCCCCCCCUGUUCUUCAGUUAUAAUCUAUAGAUACUGUUAUACAUAUACAACUUCAAUAAAGAUACUGUUUUCUUGAUUUAAUUUUUUUUCUUCCUUUUGUUGUUUAUCACAGGAAUCUGAAACCAAUGCAAGAGCAGGACCAGCUCGGCCACUAAAAUAGAAGUGAAUUGAUUUUGUAGCUAUAGUUUCAAAAGCAUACCUUACACCCUUUAAAAUCAUAUUGUUGUUACUGCUGUUGAUCAUAUAGAAAUUGUGCAGAGAAAUGAUCUUUUGGCUCUUUACAAUUUUUUUUUUAGUUUUAUGUUUUUUUUUUAAAGAGAUCUAUUAAAGGUCAUCUACUUCGAUUCAAAUUGUAAGAGGACAAGAGAUCUUAGUUCCUCGGAAAAAAAGUGUAUACCUUUCACUAAGGUUGGCAUUUGAUUAUUCUUUGUUUUACUAAGAUAUUGGGCUGAAAAUUAAGAUUUCUUGGCAGCUUAUAAAAUGAAAAGAAGAAAAUGGUCUUUUCAGAUCUCGUGUAAAAAUGAAGAUUUUGUAGAAGUCAUAAUUUUUUCUAAAAAAAUUUCAAGGACCUAGAAGAUCCAUUCUCCUUAAUAGGACAUUAUUAA